CCUUAAUGCUCUCCCUUAAUGUUAUUUCCCCCUCUAAACCAGUGUUGUGAUGUUCACAUGGCCUCAUGCCUCCUCCCAUAGGAUAUACAACUGGAUACAGAAAAGCAAUAUCAGGCUAAUUGGAGGAAAGCAAAAGAGAUGUACAAUCCCACACCUCAAGAACUAGGUGAAAUAAUAAGGUUUCUUUACAUUAAUGCCAUAUUCAGCCAGAGCUGGGGUAAG
Pelobates cultripes (western spadefoot toad) is the source of this 222-nucleotide non-coding RNA. The record is from the annotation of a GenBank genome assembly. NCBI's taxonomy places the organism in Eukaryota, Metazoa, Chordata, Amphibia, Anura, Pelobatidae.